RNAcentral lists this ribosomal RNA (351 nucleotides) under uncultured bacterium. RNAcentral describes it as "bacterial SSU rRNA". It matches the Rfam family "Bacterial small subunit ribosomal RNA", at positions 8 to 350 of the family's 1533-position model. The record is from RNAcentral.
AGAGUUUGAUCCUGGCUCAGGAUGAACGCUAGCUACAGGCUUAACACAUGCAAGUCGAGGGGCAGCAUGUUGGUUGCUUGCAACCAACGAUGGCGACCGGCGCACGGGUGAGUAACGCGUAUCCAACCUACCCUUGUCCAUCGGAUAACCCGUCGAAAGGCGGCCUAACACGAUAUGCGGUUCACAGCAGGCAUCUAACGUGAACGAAAUGUGAAGGAGAAGGAUGGGGAUGCGUCUGAUUAGCGUUGUUGGCGGGGUAACGGCCACCAAGGCUACGAUCAGUAGGGGUUCUGGACGAGGAAGGUCCCCCACAUUGGAACUGAGACACGGUCCAAACUCCUACGGGAGGCA